RNAcentral lists this ribosomal RNA (855 nucleotides) under uncultured bacterium. RNAcentral describes it as "bacterial SSU rRNA". It matches the Rfam family "Bacterial small subunit ribosomal RNA", at positions 8 to 858 of the family's 1533-position model. The record is from RNAcentral.
AGAGUUUGAUCCUGGCUUCAGGAUGAACGCUAGCGGCAAGGUUUAACACAUGCAAUUCGAGGGGCAGCAUGUCCAGCAAUGGAUGAUGGCGACCGGCGGAAGGGUGCGUAACGCGUGAGCAACAUGCCCUAUACAGGGAGAUACACCAGGGAAAACUUGGUUCUAAUAUCCCAUAGCAUUCAUUGAAGGCAUCUUUAAUGAAUUAAAGCUUCGGUGGUAUAGGAUUGGCUCGCGUGACAUUAGCCAGAUGGUGAGGUAACGGCUCACCAUAGCAAUGAUGUCUAGGGGUUUUGAGAGGAAGGCCCCCCACACUGGGACUGAGACACGGCCCAGACUCCUACGGGAGGCAGCAGUGAGGAAUAUUGGACAAUGGAUGGAAAUCUGAUCCAGCCAUGCCGCGUGCAGGAAGACGGCCUUAUGGGUUGUAAACUGCUUUUAUACGGGAGCAAUAAGGGUUACGAGUAAUCCGAUGAGAGUACUGUAUGAAUAAGGAUCGGCUAACUCCGUGCCAGCAGCCGCGGUAAUACGGAGGAUCCGAGCGUUAUCCGGAAUUAUUGGGUUUAAAGGGUGCGUAGGCGGCCAUUUAAGUCAGCGGUGAAAUUUUGCAGCUUAACUGUAACAGUGCCGUUGAUACUGUUUGGCUAGGAUUUGGUUGUAGUGUGCGGAAUGUGUGGUGUAGCGGUGAAAUGCUUAGAUAUCACACAGAACACCGACUGCGAAGGCAGCACACUAAGUCAUUAUUGACGCUGAGGCACGAAAGUGUGGGGAUCAAACAGGAUUAGAUACCCUGGUAGUCCACACUGUAAACGAUGAUAACUCGCUGUCGGCGAUACACAGUCGGGGCCAAGCGAAAGC